This 464-nucleotide ribosomal RNA is filed under the name uncultured bacterium. RNAcentral describes it as "bacterial SSU rRNA". It matches the Rfam family "Bacterial small subunit ribosomal RNA", at positions 338 to 795 of the family's 1533-position model. The record is from RNAcentral.
CCUACGGGAGGCAGCAGUGGGGAAUCUUGCGCAAUGGGCGAAAGCCUGACGCAGCGACGCCGCGUGUGGGAAGAAGGCCUUCGGGUUGUAAACCACUUUCAGGGGGGACGAAGCCACUCGGGUGAAUAGCCCAGAGGGUGACGGUACCUCCAGAAGAAGCCCCGGCUAACUACGUGCCAGCAGCCGCGGUAAUACGUAGGGGGCUAGCGUUGUCCGGAUUCAUUGGGCGUAAAGCGCGUGUAGGUGGCCUUACAGGUCCGCUGUGAAAACUCGAGGCUCAACCUCGAGACGUCGGCGGAAACCGUAUGGCUAGAGUCCGGAAGAGGAGAGUGGAAUUCCUGGUGUAGCGGUGAAAUGCGCAGAUAUCAGGAAGAACACCCGUGGCGAAGGCGGCUCUCUGGGACGGUACUGACACUGAGACGCGAAAGCGUGGGGAGCGAACAGGAUUAGAUACCCCAGUAGUC